GUGUCGUGACGAUAGCACUGAGGUCACACCUGUUCCCAUCCCGAACACAGAAGUUAAGCUCAGUCACGCCGAAAGUAGUUGGAGGAUCGCCUCCUGCGAGGAUAGGAAGUCGCGACGCA
RNAcentral lists this ribosomal RNA (119 nucleotides) under Weissella koreensis KCTC 3621. Lineage: Bacteria; Bacillati; Bacillota; Bacilli; Lactobacillales; Lactobacillaceae. The record is from RNAcentral.